Molecule: ribosomal RNA, 22 nt
Filed under: Cycas micholitzii
Lineage: Eukaryota; Viridiplantae; Streptophyta; Cycadopsida; Cycadales; Cycadaceae
Description: partial 18S rRNA
Source: RNAcentral
UGAACCUACAGAAGGUUCAUUG